Molecule: ribosomal RNA, 489 nt
Filed under: uncultured bacterium
Lineage: Bacteria
Description: partial 16S ribosomal RNA
Rfam family: Bacterial small subunit ribosomal RNA
Source: RNAcentral
AUUGACGCUGGCGGCAGGCCUAACACAUGCAAGUCGCACGGUAACAGGAAACAGCUUGCUGUUUCGCUGACGAGUGGCGGACGGGUGAGUAAUGUCUGGGAAACUGCCUGAUGGAGGGGGAUAACUACUGGAAACGGUAGCUAAUACCGCAUAACGUCGCAAGACCAAAGAGGGGGACCCUCGGGCCUCUUGCCAUCGGAUGUGCCCAGAUGGGAUUAGCUUGUUGGUGGGGUAACGGCUCACCAAGGCGACGAUCCCUAGCUGGUCUGAGAGGAUGACCAGCCACACUGGAACUGAGACACGGUCCAGACUCCUACGGGAGGCAGCAGUGGGGAAUAUUGCACAAUGGGCGCAAGCCUGAUGCAGCCAUGCCGCGUGUAUGAAGAAGGCCUUCGGGUUGUAAAGUACUUUCAGCGGGGAGGAAGGGAGUAAAGUUAAUACCUUUGCUCAUUGACGUUACCCGCAGAAGAAGCACCGGCUAACUCCGUG